UGCUUUCUUAGGUUUUCAGAUUUGCAC
This 27-nucleotide non-coding RNA is filed under the name Rattus norvegicus (Norway rat). Lineage: Eukaryota; Metazoa; Chordata; Mammalia; Rodentia; Muridae. The record is from RNAcentral.